Molecule: long non-coding RNA, 535 nt
Filed under: Taeniopygia guttata (zebra finch)
Lineage: Eukaryota; Metazoa; Chordata; Aves; Passeriformes; Estrildidae
Description: lncRNA (ENSTGUG00000024901.1)
Source: RNAcentral
UAUGAUGAUAAAGGUAAUGAACUUCUGAAUCAUACUAAGCUGAAGCAGCGAAUGCCAGUAACUACCACUCGCAAGGCCUGGAGGCUGAGGAAGGUGCUCUCAGAAACACGGGAUCUUCAGUAACAUUCUCUAAGUCUGAUCUACUGGAAAGGCAGACAAAUAGAAGGAUCACCUGGCAAUUCAAUCACAAGUUCUUGAGAGACUGAUUGUCAAUCACCCAUGUCAUGCGUUCAAAUCAACUCUUGAUCCUCUCCCCACUUGCAGACUACUUUGGAUCAUUGUUCCUGACUCAGCACCCACUGCCCAGUUGUCUUUGAUGCAAACCCAGAAUUUGGAGUUACCUGAAAAGACUUUAAUGCCCCCAUUUAGAUUGGCUGCUCUGCAUCAUCACACGGAAGAGGUAAGAUGGCCACUGCAUAAGGGUUUUGGUUUACAAAGUCCUAUGAUGAGUUUAUAAUUAUUUACAUCUCAGCUGUCUUAUAUCCAGCCGGGUGUAAGCUGUAAGGGCCUGUUUCAAAGCAGAAGAUUUAUGUUU